CCUACGGGAGGCAGCAGUAGGGAAUCUUCCACAAUGGACGAAAGUCUGAUGGAGCAACGCCGCGUGAGCGAUGAAGGCCUUCGGGUCGUAAAGCUCUGUUGUUAGGGAAGAACAAGUACCGGAGUAACUGCCGGUACCUUGACGGUACCUAACCAGAAAGCCACGGCUAACUACGUGCCAGCAGCCGCGGUAAUACGUAGGUGGCAAGCGUUGUCCGGAAUUAUUGGGCGUAAAGCGCGCGCAGGCGGUCCUUUAAGUCUGAUGUGAAAGCCCCCGGCUCAACCGGGGAGGGUCAUUGGAAACUGGGGAACUUGAGUGCAGAAGAGGAGAGCGGAAUUCCACGUGUAGCGGUGAAAUGCGUAGAGAUGUGGAGGAACACCAGUGGCGAAGGCGGCUCUCUGGUCUGUAACUGACGCUGAGGCGCGAAAGCGUGGGGAGCGAACAGGAUUAGAUACCCUGGUAGUUCACGCCGUAAACGAUGAGUGCUAAGUGUUAGAGGGUUUCCGCCCUUUAGUGCUGCAGCAAACGCAUUAAGCACUCCGCCUGGGGAGUACGGCCGCAAGGCUGAAACUCAAAGGAAUUGACGG
This 587-nucleotide ribosomal RNA is filed under the name uncultured bacterium. RNAcentral describes it as "bacterial SSU rRNA". It matches the Rfam family "Bacterial small subunit ribosomal RNA", at positions 338 to 916 of the family's 1533-position model. The record is from RNAcentral.